This 335-nucleotide unclassified non-coding RNA is filed under the name soil metagenome. Its description in RNAcentral is "partial contains 5.8S ribosomal RNA, internal transcribed spacer 2, and large subunit ribosomal RNA". The stretch from base 1 to 120 matches the Rfam family "5.8S ribosomal RNA", at positions 35 to 154 of the family's 154-position model. The record is from RNAcentral.
GAUGAAGAACGCAGCGAAAUGCGAUAAGUAAUGUGAAUUGCAGAAUUCAGUGAAUCAUCGAAUAUUUGAACGCACAUUGCGCCCGCCAGUAUUCUGGCGGGCAUGCCUGUUCGAGCGUCAUUUCAACCAUCAAGCCCCCGGCUUGUGUUGGGGACCUGCGGCUGCCGCAGGCCCUGAAAACCAGUGGCGGGCUCGCUAGUCACUCCGAGCGUAGUAAUACAUCUCGCUCAGGGCGUGCUGCGGGUUCCGGCCGUUAAAAAGCCUUAUUUACCCAAGGUUGACCUCGGAUCAGGUAGGAAGACCCGCUGAACUUAAGCAUAUCAAUAAGCGGAGGA